This is an unclassified non-coding RNA of Erinaceus europaeus (western European hedgehog), 335 nucleotides long. Its record names the gene 7SK. It matches the Rfam family "7SK RNA". From Rfam's summary of the family: 7SK was discovered as an abundant small nuclear RNA in the mid-70s but a possible function has only recently been suggested. Two independent studies have found that 7SK RNA binds the CDK9/cyclin T complex (known as elongation factor P-TEFb). The record is from Ensembl. NCBI's taxonomy places the organism in Eukaryota, Metazoa, Chordata, Mammalia, Eulipotyphla, Erinaceidae.
GGAUGUGAGGGCGAUCUGGCAGCGGCAUCUGUCACCCCACUGAUCACCAGGGUUGAUUCGGCUGAUCUGGCUGGCUGGCUGGCUAGGCUAGGCCUUCCUCCCUCACCACUCCAUGCGUGUCCCUCCCGAAGCUGUGUGCUUGGCUGAAGAGGACGACCUUCCCCGAACAGAGAUGGACCGACCGGUCUGCAGCCGAGGGUAUCUGCCGUGUAGCUGUGCUCCCCCUGCUGGAACCCUGGAACAAGCUCUCAGGGUCCUAGUAGCCACUUGUAAGAAGGUAGCCUAAAAAGGGUAAAAAGGGUGGAGCUUGGCUACAUGUGUCUCUUCUCCUCCCC